Molecule: ribosomal RNA, 424 nt
Filed under: uncultured Helicobacter sp.
Lineage: Bacteria; Pseudomonadati; Campylobacterota; Epsilonproteobacteria; Campylobacterales; Helicobacteraceae
Description: bacterial LSU rRNA
Rfam family: Bacterial large subunit ribosomal RNA
Source: RNAcentral
CCACAGCGAUGUGGUCUCAGCAAAGAGUCCCUCCCGACUGUUUACCAAAAACACAGCACUUUGCCAACUCGUAAGAGGAAGUAUAAGGUGUGACGCCUGCCCGGUGCUCGAAGGUUAAGAGGAUGCGUCAGUCGCAAGAUGAAGCGUUGAAUUGAAGCCCGAGUAAACGGCGGCCGUAACUAUAACGGUCCUAAGGUAGCGAAAUUCCUUGUCGGUUAAAUACCGACCUGCAUGAAUGGCGUAACGAGAUGGGAGCUGUCUCAACCAGAGAUUCAGUGAAAUUGUAGUGGAGGUGAAAAUUCCUCCUACCCGCGGCAAGACGGAAAGACCCCGUGGACCUUUACUACAACUUAGCACUGCUAAUGGGAAUAUCGUGCGCAGGAUAGGUGGGAGGCUUUGAAGUAAGGGCUUUGGCUCUUAUGAG